Bison bison bison is the source of this 106-nucleotide small nuclear RNA. The record is from Ensembl. Lineage: Eukaryota; Metazoa; Chordata; Mammalia; Artiodactyla; Bovidae.
AUGCCUCACUUUGGCAGCACAUAUACUAAAAUUGGGACGAUAAAGAAGAUUAGCAUGGCCCUUGUGCAAGGAUGACACACAAAUCUGUGAAGCGUUCCAUAUUUAA